AAAGCUAUAUAAAUGCUUGCUGCUAUUAUUUCUGUUGUUGUCAUCCUAGGUCUUAAUCAUCUCAUAUUGCAGAAAAGAAAACUGAGACCCAGAGAAAGACGUCAGAGGCAGGAUUUAAAUUCUGAAUUUUUGAAUAACCAUUCCACCUUAUUUGUCUCUUAAUUGGACUGACUCUACCCAGGACUUGGGAGUAAGAUAUUUUAUCUGAGUCUCAGAUCUCUGGAUUUUGAAGUGUCUGAAAAUGAUUUAAACUUUUUGAGAUUACAGAUUCUUUUUUGGCUCACCUUCAGUUUAUCGGUCAAUCUUUUUGACUAAUAAAACUUUGGGAAGAUUCUAUUGUCAGAGAGAAGAGGAAAAUAAAAGGGGGAUCCAGGGCUGUUUACCUGGGGAUGCUUCUUGAUCUAUCCUAUUAGCUGACAACAAAGUCCAGAAAAGAAGAAGAAAGAGAUGAAGAGGAUGGUCUGCCCUCCCCAUCUGUUUGUAAAGAGUGAUUUUCCCAAGAUCACAAAGCUAGGAUGAAAACCCAAAUUCCUUGUCCUUGAAUCUACUGGGUAAAUCUAACUACAGCACUCAACAAAUCCCUAUGAAAUAAAUGGAUAAACAAAGUAAAAAAUGAUUGAGGUUCCAGGAUUCUACAUUUGGAUGAGUGAGGCAAUCAACUUUGAAUCUUAUAUUGAGUAUUAAUUUAUUUUUAUUUUUGGAGACUGCUUAAAAGAAAAUUGAGAACAUUUACUUAACAGAGGUUCUCACAUGUUUAUAAGGAAGGCCCUACCUAUAGCAAAAAGAUGUACUAGAAGACUUUCCAAGACAAUUUUCAACAUUUUGAUGGACUCAAAUCACUUUGAUGGAUAUGAUGUUUUUUAAAUCAACUUUAACUUACAAUGAUAAAUACAAGAUAUCACAUCUUAUAAUAUG
This 915-nucleotide long non-coding RNA is filed under the name Sarcophilus harrisii (Tasmanian devil). RNAcentral describes it as "lncRNA (ENSSHAG00000030627.1)". The record is from RNAcentral. Lineage: Eukaryota; Metazoa; Chordata; Mammalia; Dasyuromorphia; Dasyuridae.